This 809-nucleotide ribosomal RNA is filed under the name Actinobacteria bacterium GUDS1509. Its description in RNAcentral is "bacterial SSU rRNA". It matches the Rfam family "Bacterial small subunit ribosomal RNA", at positions 56 to 883 of the family's 1533-position model. RNAcentral also lists the same sequence under 1 other name. The record is from RNAcentral. Lineage: Bacteria; Bacillati; Actinomycetota; Actinomycetes.
UGCAGUCGAGCGGAAGGCCCUUCGGGGUACUCGAGCGGCGAACGGGUGAGUAACACGUGAGCAACCUGCCCCAGGCUUUGGGAUAACCCCGGGAAACCGGGGCUAAUACCGAAUAUGACCUCCGAUCGCAUGGUUGGUGGUGGAAAGUUUUUCGGCUUGGGAUGGGCUCGCGGCCUAUCAGCUUGUUGGUGGGGUGAUGGCCUACCAAGGCGACGACGGGUAGCCGGCCUGAGAGGGCGACCGGCCACACUGGGACUGAGACACGGCCCAGACUCCUACGGGAGGCAGCAGUGGGGAAUAUUGCACAAUGGGCGGAAGCCUGAUGCAGCGACGCCGCGUGAGGGAUGACGGCCUUCGGGUUGUAAACCUCUUUCAGCAGGGACGAAGCGUAAGUGACGGUACCUGCAGAAGAAGCGCCGGCCAACUACGUGCCAGCAGCCGCGGUAAGACGUAGGGCGCGAGCGUUGUCCGGAUUUAUUGGGCGUAAAGAGCUCGUAGGCGGCUUGUCGCGUCGACUGUGAAAACCCGCAGCUCAACUGCGGGCCUGCAGUCGAUACGGGCAGGCUAGAGUUCGGUAGGGGAGACUGGAAUUCCUGGUGUAGCGGUGAAAUGCGCAGAUAUCAGGAGGAACACCGGUGGCGAAGGCGGGUCUCUGGGCCGAUACUGACGCUGAGGAGCGAAAGCGUGGGGAGCGAACAGGAUUAGAUACCCUGGUAGUCCACGCUGUAAACGUUGGGCGCUAGGUGUGGGGGGCCUCUCCGGUUCCCUGUGCCGCAGCUAACGCAUUAAGCGCCCCGCCUGGGGAGUAC